RNAcentral lists this ribosomal RNA (482 nucleotides) under uncultured bacterium. Its description in RNAcentral is "partial 16S ribosomal RNA". It matches the Rfam family "Bacterial small subunit ribosomal RNA", at positions 29 to 505 of the family's 1533-position model. The record is from RNAcentral.
AUUGAACGCUGGCGGCAUGCUUUACACAUGCAAGUCGAACGGCAGCGCGGGCUUCGGCCUGGCGGCGAGUGGCGAACGGGUGAGUAAUACAUCGGAACGUGCCCAGUAGUGGGGGAUAGCUCGGCGAAAGCCGGAUUAAUACCGCAUACGACCUGAGGGUGAAAGCGGGGGGUCUUCGGACCUCGCGCUAUUGGAGCGGCCGAUGGCAGAUUAGCUAGUUGGUGGGGUAAAGGCCUACCAAGGCGACGAUCUGUAGCUGGUCUGAGAGGACGACCAGCCACGCUGGGACUGAGACACGGCCCAGACUCCUACGGGAGGCAGCAGUGGGGAAUUUUGGACAAGGGGCGAAAGCCUGAUCCAGCAAUGCCGCGUGUGUGAUGAAGGCCUUCGGGUUGUAAAGCACUUUUGGCGGGAACGAAAAGGACUGUGCCAAUACCACGGUUCGAUGACGGUACCCGCAGAAUAAGCACCGGCUAACUACG